RNAcentral lists this ribosomal RNA (478 nucleotides) under uncultured Campylobacterales bacterium. RNAcentral describes it as "bacterial SSU rRNA". It matches the Rfam family "Bacterial small subunit ribosomal RNA", at positions 29 to 523 of the family's 1533-position model. Lineage: Bacteria; Pseudomonadati; Campylobacterota; Epsilonproteobacteria; Campylobacterales. The record is from RNAcentral.
AGUGAACGCUGGCGGCGUGCCUAAUACGUGCAAGUCGAACGAACGAAUAAGAGCUUGCUCUUAUAAGUUAGUGGCGCACGGGUGAGUAAUAUAUAGCUAAUCUGCCUCUUAGUAGAGGAUAACAGUCGGAAACGAUUGCUAAUACUCUAUACUUCUGCUUUACAUAAGUAAAGUAGAGAAAGUUUUUCGCUAAGAGAUGAGGCUAUACUGUAUCAGCUAGUUGGUAAGGUAACGGCUUACCAAGGCUAUGACGCAUAACUGGUCUGAAAGGAUGAUCAGUCACAUUGGAACUGAGACACGGUCCAAACUCCUACGGGAGGCAGCAGUAGGGAAUAUUGCGCAAUGGGGGAAACCCUGACGCAGCAACGCCGCGUGGAGGAUGACACUUUUCGGAGCGUAAACUCCUUUUAUCGGGAAAGAAUAAUGACGGUACCCGAUGAAUAAGCACCGGCUAACUCCGUGCCAGCAGCCGCGGUAA